AUAUUAACAGUCCUGAUCUCUUGGACUACAGGGGUUCAAGAGAUUUGUGGUCACUCACCGUUGGAUGUAAAUUCAAUGGUUCACUCACUCUUGCACUCAUUUUUAAAAAAAAAUUUGAAUCAUUGAAUUUAUAUCCGACGGUGGGUGACCACAAAUCUCUUGGACUCCUGUGGUCCAAGAGAUCGGGACUGUAUAU
Molecule: microRNA precursor, 196 nt
Filed under: Prunus dulcis (almond)
Lineage: Eukaryota; Viridiplantae; Streptophyta; Magnoliopsida; Rosales; Rosaceae
Description: sRNA ncRNA
Source: RNAcentral